RNAcentral lists this ribosomal RNA (433 nucleotides) under uncultured bacterium. Its description in RNAcentral is "partial 16S ribosomal RNA". It matches the Rfam family "Bacterial small subunit ribosomal RNA", at positions 29 to 507 of the family's 1533-position model. The record is from RNAcentral.
AACGAACGCUGGCGGCAUGCCUAACACAUGCAAGUCGAACGAGACCUUCGGGUCUAGUGGCGCACGGGUGCGUAACGCGUCGGAACCUGCCCUUAGGUUCGGAAUAACUCCCCGAAAGGGGUGCUAAUACCGGCUAAUGUCUUCGGACCAAAGAUUUAUCGCCUUUGGAUGGGCCCGCGUUGGCUUAGCUAGUUGGUAGGGUAAAAGCCUACCAAGGCGACGAUAGAUAGCUGGUCUGAGAGGAUGGUCAGCCACACUGGGACUGAGACACGGCCCAGACUCCUACGGGAGGCAGCAGUGGGGAAUAUUGGACAAUGGGCGAAAGCCUGAUCCAGCAAUGCCGCGUGAGUGAUGAAGGCCUUAGGGUUGUAAAGCUCUUUUACCCGGGAUGAUAAUGACAGUACCGGGAGAAUAAGCUCCGGCUAACUCCGUG